This 514-nucleotide ribosomal RNA is filed under the name uncultured bacterium. RNAcentral's name for it is "partial 16S ribosomal RNA". It matches the Rfam family "Bacterial small subunit ribosomal RNA", at positions 29 to 523 of the family's 1533-position model. The record is from RNAcentral.
AGUGAACGCUGGCGGCGUGCCUAAUACAUGCAAGUCGAGCGAACAGAUGAGAAGCUUGCUUCUCUGAUGUUAGCGGCGGACGGGUGAGUAACACGUGGGUAACCUACCUAUAAGACUGGGAUAACUCCGGGAAACCGGGGCUAAUACCGGAUAAUAUUUUGAACCGCAUGGUUCAAUAGUGAAAGACGGUUUCGGCCGUCACUUAUAGAUGGACUCGCGCCGUAUUAGCUAGUUGGUAAGGUAACGGCUUACCAAGGCGACGAUACGUAGCCGACCUGAGAGGGUGAUCGGCCACACUGGAACUGAGACACGGUCCAGACUCCUACGGGAGGCAGCAGUAGGGAAUCUUCCGCAAUGGGCGAAAGCCUGACGGAGCAACGCCGCGUGAGUGAUGAAGGUCUUCGGAUCGUAAAACUCUGUUGUUAGGGAAGAACAAAUUUGUUAGUAACUGAACAAGUCUUGACGGUACCUAACCAGAAAGCCACGGCUAACUACGUGCCAGCCGCCGCCGUAA